AACGCACAUUGCGCCCCUUGGUAUUCCAUGGGGCAUGCCUGUUCGAGCGUCAUUUGUACCCUCAAGCUUUGCUUGGUGUUGGGCGUUUUGUCUUUUUAGGAAGACUCGCCUCAAAGUAAUUGGCAGCCAGUGUUUUGGUAGUAAGCGCAGCACAUUUUGCGUCUUGGUCCCUCAACAGCGGCAUCCAUAAAGCCUCUUUCUCACUUUUGACCUCGGAUCAGGUAGGGAUACCCGCUGAACUUAA
RNAcentral lists this unclassified non-coding RNA (244 nucleotides) under uncultured Pleosporales. RNAcentral's name for it is "sequence contains 5.8S rRNA gene, ITS2, 28S rRNA gene". Lineage: Eukaryota; Fungi; Ascomycota; Dothideomycetes; Pleosporales. The record is from RNAcentral.